CCUCCAUUCAUGCAUUUAUACUUCUCCCCACGUUUUUACCGAUUUUAGAAUUUUUAUGGCCUUCAAAUGGGUUAAAAAAAAGUGCCCCGGCUAACAAGAGGUUGUGCCUUAGCGCCAUAGUAGUGUAGUGGCGCUGCCUUGUUUUCUUGUGUGGCGCCUCAACAUGUUUAUGUUUUCUUGGGUGUCAUCUCACCAUAGAAAGAUGCAACAUCCCAAUCUUCUGUCGUAGAUGAAAGAGUCAUCAAUGCAACUACGAUAGAUCUCACGCUUGGUCGUAGUUGAGGAUAGAGGGUCAACGAGAUCACUUGGAUCUAGCUGAUCAAGAACUUCUUCAAGCUAUAAUCUCCAAGGAUUAGUCCAUGACAAGAAAACAAGACACAAUUAUAUCUUUGGUAUCUAAAUAAUUGAACAAACCGAAAUCUUGAAACACUAUUUUUGUUUUCAAAACAUGAAAUUAUACAACUUACCAAGGCAACAAGGCCCUUUGAAUCAGCAAGGGAAUUGUUUGCCUUAACUAUGGCCUCCUUGGCUAAGAUUAAUUCAUACAUGAUGACACCAAAAGCAUAGACAUCUACUUUAGGAGAAACAUCAACAUAUAAUUGAUCUCAGCUAGUUUCAAAAAAUAAGCAACUAUGCCACUGUAAUUUCUGAAGUCCCUUAUAAUUACCCUUUCAUUGAGAUGUGAUUCGAUGAUUUUUGGCACCUCGUGAGUCAUUUGCUUUUCAAAAACAAAAGAGAGUAACCAAAUAGUUUGUGCGACGAAGGUGAGAAUUAUCUCUUGCUCAUCUUCAAUUUG
Molecule: long non-coding RNA, 796 nt
Filed under: Olea europaea subsp. europaea
Lineage: Eukaryota; Viridiplantae; Streptophyta; Magnoliopsida; Lamiales; Oleaceae
Source: RNAcentral